This 853-nucleotide ribosomal RNA is filed under the name uncultured organism. RNAcentral's name for it is "bacterial SSU rRNA". It matches the Rfam family "Bacterial small subunit ribosomal RNA", at positions 481 to 1339 of the family's 1533-position model. The record is from RNAcentral.
UAGGAAUAAGCAUCGGCUAACUCCGUGCCAGCAGCCGCGGUAAUACGGAGGAUGCGAGCGUUAUCCGGAUUUAUUAGGUUUAAAGGGUGCGUAGGCUGGGCAAUAAGUCAGUGGUGAAAGUCCGCGGCUCAACCGUGGGAUUGCCAUUGAAACUGUUGUUCUUGAGUACAGUCGAGGUAGGCGGAAUGUGUAAUGUAGCGGUGAAAUGCAUAGAUAUUACCCAGAACACCGAUUGCGUAGGCAGCUUACCAGCCUGGAACUGACGCUGAUGCACGAAAGCGCGGGGAGCGAACAGGAUUAGAUACCCUGGUAGUCCACGCCGUAAACGAUGAUCACUCGCUGUUGGCAAUAUAGAGUCAGCGGCUGAGCGAAAGCAUUAAGUGAUCCACCUGGGGAGUACGUCGGCAACGAUGAAACUCAAAGGAAUUGACGGGGGCCCGCACAAGCGGUGGAACAUGUGGUUUAAUUCGAUGAUACGCGAGGAACCUUACCUGGGCUUAAAUGUAGCCGGACGAUUCCGGAAACGGGAUUUCCUUAACGGCUGGUUACAAGGUGCUGCAUGGCUGUCGUCAGCUCGUGCCGUGAGGUGUCGGGUUAAGUCCCAUAACGAGCGCAACCCUUAUUCUUAGUUGCCAGCGGGUAGAGCCGGGGACUCUAAGGAGACUGCCACCGUAAGGUGUGAGGAAGGUGGGGAUGACGUCAAGUCAGCACGGCCCUUACGUCCAGGGCUACACACGUGUUACAAUGGCCGGUACAGAAGGCAGCAAACUUGAGAGAGGGCGCGAAUCCAUGAAAGCCGGUCUCAGUUCGGAUUGGAGUCUGCAGCCCGACUUCAUGAAGUGGAAUCGCUAGU